AACCACGCAUUCUGUAGAAAGGAAAAAAUUAUGAGUACUUCUCUUUUAUGUUCUGUAGCUGGAAAACAGAACAAUGGUGAUAUUAUUCUUAUAGUUCCUGCUUCUGAGUCAUGGAAAACCUUGUCAUUUUCAAUCUUUCAUUUUUUUUGUGGCCAAAAUAAUUGCGUGGAACUAUUCUGCAACAGCAGCCAGAGAUCAAUUCUUGAUCUGAUUGCCAAGUAAUGAUCAUUUCACAGAAAAGUAAAACUCCUGAUAUCAGAAUGGACACUCUUAGUCCCGGCUAUUAAGCUUUUUAAAUAUUACUAUAAUUAG
This 312-nucleotide unclassified non-coding RNA is filed under the name Hevea brasiliensis (rubber tree). Lineage: Eukaryota; Viridiplantae; Streptophyta; Magnoliopsida; Malpighiales; Euphorbiaceae. The record is from RNAcentral.